Long non-coding RNA from Passer domesticus (house sparrow), 597 nucleotides. RefSeq lists it as uncharacterized. Lineage: Eukaryota; Metazoa; Chordata; Aves; Passeriformes; Passeridae. The transcript is spliced from 3 exons. The record is from RefSeq and is a predicted model, not a curated record.
GUUGCCAAGGUGAUCAUGAAGCCAAAGAAAGAAAGGUGCCCUGCCUGACCUGGUAUGUACAAAUAACAAAGAAUUGGCUGUGCAUGUGGAAGUUGUUGCCAGCCUUGGCUGAAGUUUGGUUGUAGACAAGUCAGCAGUAGUGUCCCCUCCUUAGCCUGAAAUAUGCUGUUAAUAAACAAGAGGACAAGUUUCUAGAGAUCCAAUAUUCAACAAAGAGCUACUGCAGUAUUUAUUCUGUUUCUGAAGUUUCUGGAGAGAGAAGCUGCAAGAAUCAAAAAAGGAAGCAAGCUUACAAAGCAACACCUACCUGAUAUACCCUGAGACUCCUUCUGUAGAUCACAGUACCACAGUCUGUUCACUGGAUCACAGCCUUCUCUGAUAGACAGCAAGACAUAUCGACCAUCAUCCGACACCUGUAAGAAGUUACAGAAAAAUCUAAGACAAUUCAUACUCUGGAAAAGAGAACUCCAACUUGAAAAAUAUAUGCUGCCCAAAGACUUUUGCAUAACACCACUGACCCUGGAUAUGACUCCACUAAGAAGAAUUUACAUGCAAGAAACCUUCCACUUGCUGCAGAAAUUACCUCUUUUGUUAUUU